GACGAACGCUGGCGGCGUGCUUAACACAUGCAAGUCGAACGGAAAGGCCCUGCUUUUGUGGGGUGCUCGAGUGGCGAACGGGUGAGUAACACGUGAGUAACCUGCCCUUGACUUUGGGAUAACUUCAGGAAACUGGGGCUAAUACCGGAUAGGAGCUCCUGCUGCAUGGUGGGGAUUGGAAAGUUUCGGCGGUUGGGGAUGGACUCGCGGCUUAUCAGCUUGUUGGUGGGGUAGUGGCUUACCAAGGCUUUGACGGGUAGCCGGCCUGAGAGGGUGACCGGCCACAUUGGGACUGAGAUACGGCCCAGACUCCUACGGGAGGCAGCAGUGGGGAAUAUUGCACAAUGGGCGGAAGCCUGAUGCAGCAACGCCGCGUGCGGGAUGACGGCCUUCGGGUUGUAAACCGCUUUCGCCUGUGACGAAGCGUGAGUGACGGUAAUGGGUAAAGAAGCGCCGGCUAACUACGUG
RNAcentral lists this ribosomal RNA (468 nucleotides) under uncultured bacterium. RNAcentral describes it as "partial 16S ribosomal RNA". It matches the Rfam family "Bacterial small subunit ribosomal RNA", at positions 28 to 507 of the family's 1533-position model. The record is from RNAcentral.